Molecule: ribosomal RNA, 512 nt
Filed under: uncultured bacterium
Lineage: Bacteria
Description: bacterial SSU rRNA
Rfam family: Bacterial small subunit ribosomal RNA
Source: RNAcentral
ACGAGUUUGAUCAGUGGCUACAGGACGAACGCUGGCGGCGUGCCUAACACAUGCAAGUCGAGGGGCAGCGCGAAUGUUAGCAAUAACAUUUGGCGGCGACCGGCGCAAGGGUGCGUAACGCGUGAGCAACUUGCCCGUUUCUGGGGGAAUAACCGGUGGAAACGCCGACUAAUACCCCAUAGUAUUGGAUUUAGGCAUCUUAAUCCAAUUAAAGAAUUUCGGAAACGGAUAGGCUCGCGUGACAUUAGCUAGAUGGCGGGGUAACGGCCCACCAUGGCGACGAUGUCUAGGGGUUCUGAGAGGAAGGUCCCCCACACUGGAACUGAGACACGGUCCAGACUCCUACGGGAGGCAGCAGUGAGGAAUAUUGGUCAAUGGUCUGACGACUGAACCAGCCAUGCCGCGUGAAGGUGACGGCCCUAUGGGUCUUAAACUUCUUUUGUAAGGGAGCAAUAAGGUGUACGUGUACAUCGAUGAGAGUACCUUACGAAUAAGCAUCGGCUAACUCCGUG